GCCUCAAAUCAAGUAAGAAACCCCCCCCU
This 29-nucleotide ribosomal RNA is filed under the name uncultured Glomus. RNAcentral describes it as "partial 28S ribosomal RNA". Lineage: Eukaryota; Fungi; Glomeromycota; Glomeromycetes; Glomerales; Glomeraceae. The record is from RNAcentral.